GGAUAGAUGGCUUAGUGGUUAAGGCAUUGAUUGGUCUUCCAGAGGACCUGGGUUCAAUUCCCAGCACCCA
Molecule: transfer RNA, 70 nt
Filed under: Mus musculus (house mouse)
Lineage: Eukaryota; Metazoa; Chordata; Mammalia; Rodentia; Muridae
Description: tRNA-Thr
Source: RNAcentral